Molecule: microRNA, 22 nt
Filed under: Eisenia fetida (common brandling worm)
Lineage: Eukaryota; Metazoa; Annelida; Clitellata; Crassiclitellata; Lumbricidae
Description: Efe-Let-7-P12_5p (mature (guide))
Source: RNAcentral
UGAGGUAGUAGGUUGUAUAGGA